GUGUGUUUUUAAGGUUGAUACAAUGCUUUAAGAGGCUAACACAGAAGGGUAAAAGACACUUCCAUAAAACAGAGACUAGACUGCAAAACUCCUCCUGUCUGGAGUUUCAGCU
RNAcentral lists this small nucleolar RNA (112 nucleotides) under Sciurus vulgaris (Eurasian red squirrel). RNAcentral describes it as "Small nucleolar RNA SNORA26 (ENSSVLG00005018659.1)". It matches the Rfam family "Small nucleolar RNA SNORA26". From Rfam's summary of the family: The snoRNA HBI-6 belong to the H/ACA family of snoRNAs, guiding the pseudouridylation of position U4522 if the 28S rRNA. Lineage: Eukaryota; Metazoa; Chordata; Mammalia; Rodentia; Sciuridae. The record is from Rfam by way of RNAcentral.